GGCCUCUGGCAAUGGGCAAAGAGACCCCUUGUUGGUAUUGUUCUUAUAUCAGUCAGGAAGGCAGAACAGAUGGAAGUCCUUUGUUUAUUCCAUCUUAAUGCCUGGCUUGGUGGCCAAAAGUGUUUUAUGCUUAGGACACAUAA
Molecule: small nucleolar RNA, 143 nt
Organism: Apodemus sylvaticus (European woodmouse)
Lineage: Eukaryota; Metazoa; Chordata; Mammalia; Rodentia; Muridae
Product: small nucleolar RNA SNORA48
Exons: 1
Source: RefSeq, a predicted model, not a curated record